AGUUUGAUCCUGGCUCAGAACGAACGCUGGCGGCAGGCUUAACACAUGCAAGUCGAACGCCCCGCAAGGGGAGUGGCAGACGGGUGAGUAACGCGUGGGAAUCUACCGUGCCCUGCGGAAUAGCUCCGGGAAACUGGAAUUAAUACCGCAUACGCCCUACGGGGGAAAGAUUUAUCGGGGUAUGAUGAGCCCGCGUUGGAUUAGCUAGUUGGUGGGGUAAAGGCCUACCAAGGCGACGAUCCAUAGCUGGUCUGAGAGGAUGAUCAGCCACAUUGGGACUGAGACACGGCCCAAACUCCUACGGGAGGCAGCAGUGGGGAAUAUUGGACAAUGGGCGCAAGCCUGAUCCAGCCAUGCCGCGUGGGUGAAGAAGGCCUUCGGGUUGUAAAGCCCUUUUGUUGGGAAAGAAAAGCAGUCGGUUAAUACCCGAUUGUUCUGACGGUACCCAAAGAAUAAGCACCGGCUAACUUCGUGCCAGCAGCCGCGGUAA
This 490-nucleotide ribosomal RNA is filed under the name uncultured bacterium. RNAcentral's name for it is "bacterial SSU rRNA". It matches the Rfam family "Bacterial small subunit ribosomal RNA", at positions 10 to 523 of the family's 1533-position model. The record is from RNAcentral.